UACCAGUUCCAUAAGUGUAUAUUAAAGUUGUUGCAGUUGAAAAGCUCGUAGUUGGAAUGGAGUUAUUGUGCGUUUGCGAUGUGGGGGAAACUUCAUGUGGCGGAGGCAUGGUAGCUGAUAUAAAGCAUUUAUUGGUGGUUGCUCAUUUAUUUGGGUGAUCGUAUAUUGAUGGAUGCAUUUUACUAUUAAAAAUUAGAAAGUUUCAAUUAAGUUGUAAUUGGAUUUUUGAAUAGUCGAAGAAUGGUAUAAUAGAAUAGGAUUUUUGGAAUCAGUUUGGAAUGUUAGAUGAUUCUAGAGUAAUGAUUAAUAGAGAUAGAUGGAGAUAUUUGUAUUUUGAUGGCUAGAGGUGAAAUUCUUGGAUUCUUCAAAGACAAACUAACGCGAAAGCAUUUAUCAAGUAUAUGCUCGUUAAUCAAGAACUAAAGUAAAGGGAUCAAAGAUGAUUAGAUACCGUCGUAGUCUUUACUAUAAACUAUGCCGAUUAGGGAUCUAUUUAUUACGUA
This 503-nucleotide ribosomal RNA is filed under the name uncultured marine eukaryote. RNAcentral's name for it is "bacterial SSU rRNA". It matches the Rfam family "Eukaryotic small subunit ribosomal RNA", at positions 583 to 1067 of the family's 1831-position model. The record is from RNAcentral.